GAGGGUAUAGCUCAGUGGUAGAGCACAUGCUUAGCAUGCACGAGGCCCUGGGUUCAAUCCCCAGUACCUCCA
RNAcentral lists this transfer RNA (72 nucleotides) under Camelus bactrianus (Bactrian camel). It matches the Rfam family "tRNA". Rfam says of the family: Transfer RNA (tRNA) molecules are approximately 80 nucleotides in length. Their secondary structure includes four short double-helical elements and three loops (D, anti-codon, and T loops). Lineage: Eukaryota; Metazoa; Chordata; Mammalia; Artiodactyla; Camelidae. RNAcentral also lists the same sequence under 3 other names. The record is from Rfam by way of RNAcentral.